This 73-nucleotide transfer RNA is filed under the name Phytomonospora endophytica. RNAcentral describes it as "Micromonosporaceae bacterium YIM 65646 tRNA". It matches the Rfam family "tRNA". Rfam says of the family: Transfer RNA (tRNA) molecules are approximately 80 nucleotides in length. Lineage: Bacteria; Bacillati; Actinomycetota; Actinomycetes; Micromonosporales; Micromonosporaceae. The record is from Rfam by way of RNAcentral.
GGGGACUUAGCUCAGCUGGAAGAGCACCUGCUUUGCAAGCAGGGGGUCAGGGGUUCGAGUCCCCUAGUCUCCA